RNAcentral lists this ribosomal RNA (447 nucleotides) under uncultured bacterium. RNAcentral's name for it is "SSU rRNA". It matches the Rfam family "Bacterial small subunit ribosomal RNA", at positions 26 to 518 of the family's 1533-position model. The record is from RNAcentral.
AGAGCGAACGCUGGCGGCAGGCUUAACACAUGCAAGUCGAGCGGGCGUAGCAAUACGUCAGCGGCAGACGGGUGAGUAACGCGUGGGAACGUACCUUUUGGUUCGGAACAACACAGGGAAACUUGUGCUAAUACCGGAUAAGCCCUUACGGGGAAAGAUUUAUCGCCGAAAGAUCGGCCCGCGUCUGAUUAGCUAGUUGGUGAGGUAACGGCUCACCAAGGCGACGAUCAGUAGCUGGUCUGAGAGGAUGAUCAGCCACAUUGGGACUGAGACACGGCCCAAACUCCUACGGGAGGCAGCAGUGGGGAAUAUUGGACAAUGGGCGAAAGCCUGAUCCAGCCAUGCCGCGUGAGUGAUGAAGGCCCUAGGGUUGUAAAGCUCUUUUGUGCGGGAAGAUAAUGACGGUACCGCAAGAAUAAGCCCGGCUAACUUCGUGCCAGCAGCCGC